RNAcentral lists this ribosomal RNA (465 nucleotides) under Vreelandella stevensii. RNAcentral's name for it is "partial 16S ribosomal RNA". It matches the Rfam family "Bacterial small subunit ribosomal RNA", at positions 338 to 795 of the family's 1533-position model. Lineage: Bacteria; Pseudomonadati; Pseudomonadota; Gammaproteobacteria; Oceanospirillales; Halomonadaceae. The record is from RNAcentral.
CCUACGGGUGGCUGCAGUGGGGAAUAUUGGACAAUGGGCGAAAGCCUGAUCCAGCCAUGCCGCGUGUGUGAAGAAGGCCUUCGGGUUGUAAAGCACUUUCAGUGGGGAAGAAAGCCUUGGGGCUAAUACCCUCGAGGAAGGACAUCACCCACAGAAGAAGCACCGGCUAACUCCGUGCCAGCAGCCGCGGUAAUACGGAGGGUGCGAGCGUUAAUCGGAAUUACUGGGCGUAAAGCGCGCGUAGGCGGUCUGAUAAGCCGGUUGUGAAAGCCCCGGGCUCAACCUGGGAACGGCAUCCGGAACUGUCAGGCUAGAGUGCAGGAGAGGAAGGUAGAAUUCCCGGUGUAGCGGUGAAAUGCGUAGAGAUCGGGAGGAAUACCAGUGGCGAAGGCGGCCUUCUGGACUGACACUGACGCUGAGGUGCGAAAGCGUGGGUAGCAAACAGGAUUAGAUACCCCGGUAGUC